GCUGUGCUAGCACGUUCAGGUGCUGACUGUGGGCAUGGUCCAACCAUCUUUGAAGUCAGUGGAAGACUUUCAACUUCAGUGAGCUGCGGAGGUGUUCUGAGGUGCUCUCUUGUGCUGGCCAACUUGGAAGCAUCAGUGAACAGAGGAGGGGAGAGACAUCCAGCACCCUUCAUCAAAGCACAGUGCUCUCAGAGGCCGUGGUGUAACCUACGUGGAGCGGGGUGUUCCCUCCCACCCACAGAUGUGCCCUCCUGCUGCCUCCCCUGCAUGGGUGCUGCAGCUCAUGUGGCUGCACAGCUGAGACAGACACAGCCACCAAUCCUUCUGGAAACCAACCCAGCCCAGCAAAGAUUUGUCUCCAGCCAGGUCAG
This 371-nucleotide long non-coding RNA is filed under the name Anas platyrhynchos platyrhynchos (common mallard). Its description in RNAcentral is "lncRNA (ENSAPLG00000023098.1)". Lineage: Eukaryota; Metazoa; Chordata; Aves; Anseriformes; Anatidae. The record is from RNAcentral.